AGCUAGUUGGUGAGGUAAUGGCUCACCAAGGCGACGAUCCGUAACUGGUCUGAGAGGAUGAUCAGUCACACUGGAACUGAGACACGGUCCAGACUCCUACGGGAGGCAGCAGUGGGGAAUAUUGGACAAUGGGCGAAAGCCUGAUCCAGCCUUCCGCGUGUGUGAAGAAGGUCUUCGGAUUGUAAAGCACUUUAAGUUGGGAGGAAGGGCAUUAACCUAAUACGUUAGUGUUUUGACGUUACCGACAGAAUAAGCACCGGCUAACUCUGUGCCAGCAGCCGCGGUAAUACAGAGGGUGCAAGCGUUAAUCGGAAUUACUGGGCGUAAAGCGCGCGUAGGUGGUUCGUUAAGUUGGAUGUGAAAGCCCCGGGCUCAACCUGGGAACUGCAUUCAAAACUGACGAGCUAGAGUAUGGUAGAGGGUGGUGGAAUUUCCUGUGUAGCGGUGAAAUGCGUAGAUAUAGGAAGGAACACCAGUGGCGAAGGCGACCACCUGGACUGAUACUGACACUGAGGUGCGAAAGCGUGGGGAGCGAACAGGAUUAGAUACCCUGGUAGUCCACGCCGUAAACGAUGUCAACUAGCCGUUGGGAGCCUUGAGCUCUUAGUGGCGCAGCUAACGCAUUAAGUUGACCGCCUGGGGAGUACGGCCGCAAGGUUAAAACUCAAAUGAAUUGACGAGGGCCCGCACAAGCGGUGGAGCAUGUGGUUUAAUUCGAAGCAACGCGAAGAACCUUACCAGGCCUUGACAUCCAAUGAACUUUCCAGAGAUGGAUUGGUGCCUUCGGGAACAUUGAGACAGGUGCUGCAUGGCUGUCGUCAGCUCGUGUCGUGAGAUGUUGGGUUAAGUCCCGUAACGAGCGCAACCCUUGUCCUUAGUUACCAGCACGUCAUGGUGGGCACUCUAAGGAGACUGCCGGUGACAAACCGGAGGAAGGUGGGGAUGACGUCAAGUCAUCAUGGCCCUUACGGCCUGGGCUACACACGUGCUACAAUGGUCGGUACAGAGGGUUGCCAAGCCGCGAGGUGGAGCUAAUCCCACAAAACCGAUCGUAGUCCGGAUCGCAGUCUGCAACUCGACUGCGUGAAGUCGGAAUCGCUAGUAAUCGCGAAUCAGAAUGUCGCGGUGAAUACGUUCCCGGGCCUUGUACACACCGCCCGUCACACCAUGGGAGUGGGUUGCACCAGAAGUAGCUAGUCUAACCUUCGGGAGGACGGUUACCACGGUGUGAUUCAUGACUGGGGUG
This 1246-nucleotide ribosomal RNA is filed under the name metagenome. RNAcentral's name for it is "bacterial SSU rRNA". It matches the Rfam family "Bacterial small subunit ribosomal RNA", at positions 243 to 1482 of the family's 1533-position model. The record is from RNAcentral.